This 496-nucleotide ribosomal RNA is filed under the name uncultured bacterium. Its description in RNAcentral is "partial 16S ribosomal RNA". It matches the Rfam family "Bacterial small subunit ribosomal RNA", at positions 29 to 507 of the family's 1533-position model. The record is from RNAcentral.
AUGCACGCUGGCGGCGUGCCUAAUCCCUGCAAGUCGCGCGAACAGACGAGGAGCUUGCUCCUCUGACGUUAGCGGCGGACGGGUGAGUAACACGUGGAUAACCUACCUAUAAGACUGGGAUAACUUCGGGAAACCGGAGCUAAUACCGGAUAAUAUAUUGAACCGCAUGGUUCAAUAGUGAAAGACGGUUUUGCUGUCACUUAUAGCUGGAUCCGCGCCGCAUUAGCUAGUUGGUAAGGUAACGGCUUACCAAGGCGACGAUGCGUAGCCGACCUGAGAGGGUGAUCGGCCACACUGGAACUGAGACACGGUCCAGACUCCUACGGGAGGCAGCAGUAGGGAAUCUUCCGCAAUGGGCGAAAGCCUGACGGAGCAACGCCGCGUGAGUGAUGAAGGUCUUCGGAUCGUAAAACUCUGUUAUUAGGGAAGAACAAAUGUGUAAGUAACUAUGCACGUCUUGACGGUACCUAAUCAGAAAGCCACGGCUAACUACGUG